Long non-coding RNA from Eriocheir sinensis (Chinese mitten crab), 942 nucleotides. RefSeq lists it as uncharacterized. NCBI's taxonomy places the organism in Eukaryota, Metazoa, Arthropoda, Malacostraca, Decapoda, Varunidae. The transcript has 3 exons. The record is from RefSeq and is a predicted model, not a curated record.
UGCAAAGGUUCCGCUGCUUGGCAACGUACGGCCUUAUUUUCAGUGAGACCUUCUUCAUUUCCAUCUACAUUUAGCUAAGAUCCUUCACCUCUAGAUAUAAGACAUAUUUUUCCUGGCAUAAUUGUAUGGUUUCCCCUUCUAUUAUCAGUUUUAAGCUUCGUUCUUUUGUUCCUCAUUUAGUUGCAAUGUUUUCAAAAUAAUCUCGUGCUACACGACAAAUCAGUACUCAACAUAAUAUGAGUCGGCAAAUCUACAUCGCGUGUUAUCAAUAAGUCUUGGAAACUACUUUUUCCUUCCAUAUUAACUUGUCUUUUACCGUCAUUUUCAAUAUGGUAUCUUUGCACAGAGACAAUAUUCACAGGUUUCGCUUCACAGUUAUUUACUGCGAGCCCUAAUUCUUUAAUAAAUUCAUCCGUUAAAAACUCACACACGCUCCUGUUUCUAGGAGUGCUGCCACUUUUGCAUAUGUGUUAUCAUGAGUAGUGCGAUCUGCCUACCAAAGUUACUCUUGAGUUAUGUUAAUUAUAGCCUUCUUUUCAUUAUUUUUAAGGUCACUCCCUUGUUCGUUAUAGCCUUCAUCUUAUUAUAUUAAAGGUUACUCCCUUGUUCGUUAUAGCCUUCAUCUUAUUAUAUUAAAGGUUACUCCCUUGUUCGUUAUAGCCUUCAUCUUAUUAUAUUAAAGGUUACUCCCUUGUUCGUUAUAGCCUUCAUCUUAUUAUAUUAAAGGUUACUCCCUUGUUCGUUAUAGCCUUCAUCUUAUUAUAUUAAAGGUUACUCCCUUGUUCGUUAUAGCCUUCAUCUUAUUAUAUUAAAGGUUACUCCCUUGUUCGUUAUAGCCUUCAUCUUAUUAUAUUAAAGGUUACUCCCUUGUUCGUUAUAGCCUUCAUCUUAUUAUAUUAAAGGUUACUCCCUGUUUUGUUCUUCGCUCAUUUUCCGUUUUUU